GUGGGGAAUCUUGCACAAUGGGGGAAACCCUGAUGCAGCGACGCCGCGUGAGCGAUGAAGCCCUUCGGGGUGUAAAGCUCUUUCGGCAGGGAAGAUUAUGACGGUACCUGCAGAAGCAGCUGCGGCUAACUACGUGCCAGCAGCCGCGGUAAUACGUAGGCAGCAAGCGUUGUUCGGAGUUACUGGGCGUAAAGGGUGUGUAGGCGGCCUGUUAAGUUCCGUGUGAAAUCUCCCGGCUCAACCGGGAGGGUGCGCGGAAAACUGGCGGGCUAGAGUGCGGGAUGGGAGAGUAGAAUUCCUGGUGUAGCGGUGAAAUGCGUAGAUAUCAGGAGGAAUACCGGUGGUGUAGACGGCUCUCUGGACCGCAACUGACGCUGAAACACGAAAGCGUGGGUAGCAAAC
Molecule: ribosomal RNA, 402 nt
Filed under: uncultured bacterium
Lineage: Bacteria
Description: bacterial SSU rRNA
Rfam family: Bacterial small subunit ribosomal RNA
Source: RNAcentral